GCCGUAAAACUGGUAUUUCACUGAUUCGUAAUCAGUAGGUCCGGGGUUCGAUUCCCCGAGUCGGCACCA
RNAcentral lists this transfer RNA (69 nucleotides) under Rhodobacter sp. RNAcentral's name for it is "tRNA-Ser". It matches the Rfam family "tRNA". Rfam says of the family: Transfer RNA (tRNA) molecules are approximately 80 nucleotides in length. Their secondary structure includes four short double-helical elements and three loops (D, anti-codon, and T loops). The record is from RNAcentral. RNAcentral also lists the same sequence under 3 other names. Lineage: Bacteria; Pseudomonadati; Pseudomonadota; Alphaproteobacteria; Rhodobacterales.